GCGAACGCUGGCGGCAGGCUUAACACAUGCAAGUCGAGCGGGCGCAGCAAUGCGUCAGCGGCAGACGGGUGAGUAACGCGUGGGAACAUACCUCUUGGUUCGGAACAACACAGGGAAACUUGUGCUAAUACCGGAUAAGCCCUUACGGGGAAAGAUUUAUCGCCGAGAGAUUGGCCCGCGUCUGAUUAGCUAGUUGGUAGGGUAAUGGCCUACCAAGGCGACGAUCAGUAGCUG
Molecule: ribosomal RNA, 234 nt
Filed under: Bradyrhizobium sp. ISOM364_OTU322
Lineage: Bacteria; Pseudomonadati; Pseudomonadota; Alphaproteobacteria; Hyphomicrobiales; Nitrobacteraceae
Also listed under: 1 other name
Description: partial 16S ribosomal RNA
Rfam family: Bacterial small subunit ribosomal RNA
Source: RNAcentral